GGAUCAUUACUGAGUUUACGCUCUAUAACCCUUUGUGAACAUACCUAUAACUGUUGCUUCGGCGGGUAGGGUCUCCGUGACCCUCCCGGCCUCCCGCCCCCGGGCGGGUCGGCGCCCGCCGGAGGAUAACCAAACUCUGAUUUAACGACGUUUCUUCUGAGUGGUACAAGCAAAUAAUCAAAACUUUUAACAACGGAUCUCUUGGUUCUGGCAUCGAUGAAGAACGCAGCGAAAUGCGAUAAGUAAUGUGAAUUGCAGAAUUCAGUGAAUCAUCGAAUCUUUGAACGCACAUUGCGCCCGCCAGCAUUCUGGCGGGCAUGCCUGUUCGAGCGUCAUUUCAACCCUCAAGCUCUGCUUGGUGUUGGGGCCCUACAGCUGAUGUAGGCCCUCAAAGGUAGUGGCGGACCCUCCCGGAGCCUCCUUUGCGUAGUAACUUUACGUCUCGCACUGGGAUCCGGAGGGACUCUUGCCGUAAAACCCCCAAUUUUCCAAAGGUUGACCUCGGAUCAGGUAGGAAUACCCGCUGAACUUAAGCAUAUCAAUAA
Molecule: ribosomal RNA, 545 nt
Filed under: fungal endophyte
Lineage: Eukaryota; Fungi
Description: eukaryotic LSU rRNA
Rfam family: 5.8S ribosomal RNA (bases 182-335)
Source: RNAcentral